GCCCGGGUGGCGGAAUUGGCAGACGCGCCAGGUUGAGGGCCUGGUGGGGUUUAUACCCCGUGCUGGUUCGAGUCCAGUCCCGGGCA
RNAcentral lists this transfer RNA (86 nucleotides) under Phycisphaerae bacterium. Its description in RNAcentral is "tRNA-Leu". It matches the Rfam family "tRNA". Rfam says of the family: Transfer RNA (tRNA) molecules are approximately 80 nucleotides in length. The record is from RNAcentral. Lineage: Bacteria; Pseudomonadati; Planctomycetota; Phycisphaerae.